AUUGAACGCUGGCGGCAGGCCUAACACAUGCAAGUCGAACGGUAGCACAGAGAGCUUGCUCUCGGGUGACGAGUGGCGGACGGGUGAGUAACGUCUGGGAAACUGCCCGAUGGAGGGGGAUAACUACUGGAAACGGUAGCUAAUACCGCAUAACGUCGCAAGACCAAAGUGGGGACCUUCGGGCCUCACACCAUCCGAAGGUCCCAGAUGGGAUUAGCUAGUAGGUGGGGUAAUUGCUCACCUUGGCGACGAUCCCUAGCUGGUCUGAGAGGAUGACCAGCCACACUGGAACUGAGACACGGUCCAGACUCCUACGGGAGGCAGCAGUGGGGAAUAUUGCACAAUGGGCGCAAGCCUGAUGCAGCCAUGCCGCGUGUAUGAAGAAGGCCUUCGGGUUGUAAAGUACUUUCAGCGGGGAGGAAGGCGGUGAAGUUAAUAGCUUCACCGAUUGACGUUACCCGCAGAAGAAGCACCGGCUAACUCCGUGCCAGCCGCCGUAAAAC
RNAcentral lists this ribosomal RNA (503 nucleotides) under uncultured bacterium. Its description in RNAcentral is "partial 16S ribosomal RNA". It matches the Rfam family "Bacterial small subunit ribosomal RNA", at positions 30 to 526 of the family's 1533-position model. The record is from RNAcentral.